Long non-coding RNA from Perca fluviatilis (European perch), 1862 nucleotides. RefSeq lists it as uncharacterized. The record is from RefSeq and is a predicted model, not a curated record. The transcript is spliced from 14 exons. Lineage: Eukaryota; Metazoa; Chordata; Actinopteri; Perciformes; Percidae.
GCACUUUCUCAGCAGCAUUUUCUGAAUACCAGAGGUGCUUCAGUUUACAGUCAGACUACUGGAAGCCGGAGGAGGAGCCACACUAAGUACCUGUCACACAUCCGGAGGAACAGCCUGGAGGUGGAGGCAGGGUCGCCCCACUGUGGAGUUACGCCCCACUCCACCCCCCACUAGAGCACAGCAGCCAGACCUAAAGACAGAAUGAGAAUGGACGACGUGUUGGAAGUCAAAUAUCCAAAAACAUUCAGCGUUCACCGAGAGCUGAAACACUUGUCAAUAUCCAGCACAGACUUGAAUCAAGAUUGCAGUGUCUAUAAUUAAAGUUCUAAGUCUGGCAAGCCAUACACCCAUCCCCUCACAUAUUCAGCCUUCACUCCAUGGCUUGGUGAGGCUGUCAGAAUUAAUGAUCUUGUCCCAAAGACUGAGAUUCUGAAAGGGUUGUCUCCAAAGGACCAAGCAACAACUUCAGGGACUGCCUCUGCCAUAGAUGAAGACACCAUAUUACGAGUACUGGAUUCCAGACCACUGAACUGGUAUGUGAAGACGAUUUUGCAGGAGAUGCAUCCUGGGAUAUUUUGUGUGAUGGUGAUUUUGCAGCUGAAGAAACAGAAGAUCAUCCUUGGUGCAGUUUUGACUGUAUUGGGGUUCCACAUCUGGAACAUAUGGGUGGUAGAUCGGGCGUCUUAGACACACAGGUUGAUGGUGUGCUGGAUAGCACCAAACCACCUGACAAGGUGGUGGGUGUUCUGGGGGGACGCAACGUAACUAGAUGAGAUUUCAAGACUCUCGGAUUUCCGGAACUGUUGGAGUUCACAGUAUGGAUUGCUUACAGAAUGGAUUUUUACACUGAACUCAGUUGACAUUAAUCUUUAAUUCUAUCUGUUUUUGUAGAUUGCCAAUUGUUGCCUGCAGCUCAUUUGAGAAAUUGCCAGGGACAAGGGAAAGGACGUGUAUGCCGAGGAUGCCUUUGUGGUGUCAACUUGGCAUGCCCUCUUCAGGAAGACGCGAUGCAGAGUCUCCCUCAUGACGCAGGAUCCAAAGAUUUCUCCUCCUUUUCCCUGUGUGGAAACCGGGGCAGUGGUUCUUAAGUACUUAUAUAAUCGUUAGGGACAGACAAGGCCACGAGGUCCCUGAUUCAGUGGUGGAUGCUGAACGCCUGCAGCUUUAUCGUGAAGCGGAAUGCUGCCCUGCAUUGUGUACGAGAUCUGAAGUGACCCGGAACUGGGGUCAGAGGGGGGUGAGGCAACCACUGCGUCCUGGAAAUGGUAUCCUUUGAUGAAUGACGCAAUUGGUGACAGGCCGUCGGCAACGCUGCCUGUCCUCAUUGCCUCAUCAUGCCAGGACGUGGCGGUUGUGGAACCCCCCUCGUUGGUGACCCCAGAAAGAGACCUAGCCACGGCUUCCGCGGCAUCCACUCCAAAACGGAGGCGGGUGGAUGUUGCGGAGGCCAUGAAAGAGUUACAAGAGAAGGAGCUGUUUUACGAACAGGAGAUUAUGAAGAUGGAGGCGAAGGCAAGAGAGAGAGAGGAAGCCAGAGAUGAGAGAGAGAAGAGUCGGCACCGCAAGGCUGUGCAGAGGGACGAACGCCAUUUUAAGGAGAUGAGAGGAGAGACAAUGAGAUGAGGGAGAGGAGAGGAGAGGCGAGACAGGGAGCAUUGCAACUUCAAAGAGGGAACUAUUACAUACAUUGUCUCCUUGCCGGAGCAACCACAGCAUUGCUUCCAAAUCAUCCAAAAUUGGAGAAGCUGCCAAAGGCCCUGGAAGUUGAUGAACAGGGACCAUGACUUACAAAAUGACUCGGUGUCAUGUGGAGUGUUCUCAAUAAUGCUCUGUUUCAGACUGAUAACUCCGGUUCAGGCUGG